UUUCGGCCAAAGGAAGGGGAAUGCUUAGUGGCGGACUGGUGAGUAACGCGUGAGGAACCUGCCUUUCAGAGGGGGACAACAGUUGGAAACGACUGCUAAUACCGCAUGACACAUUGGGGUCGCAUGGCCCUGAUGUCAAAGAUUUAUCGCUGAAAGAUGGCCUCGCGUCUGAUUAGCUAGUUGGUGAGGUAACGGCCCACCAAGGCGACGAUCAGUAGCCGGACUGAGAGGUUGACCGGCCACAUUGGGACUGAGAUACGGCCCAGACUCC
RNAcentral lists this ribosomal RNA (271 nucleotides) under uncultured Oscillibacter sp. RNAcentral's name for it is "partial 16S ribosomal RNA". It matches the Rfam family "Bacterial small subunit ribosomal RNA", at positions 73 to 339 of the family's 1533-position model. Lineage: Bacteria; Bacillati; Bacillota; Clostridia; Eubacteriales; Oscillospiraceae. The record is from RNAcentral.